AUCCAGCUGACAAGUCCUGAAUAGGACGAAAGGCGUAUCCUGGAU
Non-coding RNA from Schistosoma curassoni, 45 nucleotides. NCBI's taxonomy places the organism in Eukaryota, Metazoa, Platyhelminthes, Trematoda, Strigeidida, Schistosomatidae. The record is from Rfam.